UGUAGCUCAGUUGGAGAGCGUUUGCCUGGCAUGCAGGAAGCCCUGGGUUCAAUCCCCAUCA
Molecule: transfer RNA, 61 nt
Filed under: Neotoma lepida (desert woodrat)
Lineage: Eukaryota; Metazoa; Chordata; Mammalia; Rodentia; Cricetidae
Rfam family: tRNA
About the family: Transfer RNA (tRNA) molecules are approximately 80 nucleotides in length. Their secondary structure includes four short double-helical elements and three loops (D, anti-codon, and T loops).
Source: Rfam by way of RNAcentral